GUAGUCUCGCACAGAUGCAUAUCAAUAAGCGGAGGAAAAGAAACUAACAAGGAUUCCCCUAGUAACGGCGAGUGAAGCGGGAAGAGCUCAAAUUUGAAAUCUUAAAGGGUUUCCCUUUACGAAUUAGUAGUUUAAAGAAGUGUUUUCUGUUGAGGUUUUGGUAAAAGUUCUUUGGAAUAGGACAUCAUAGAGGGUGAGAAUCCCGUAUUUGACCUUUACUUUCAACUUUGUGAUACACUUUCAAAGAGUCGGAUUGUUUGGGAAUGCAGUCCAAAAUGGGUGGUAAAUUUCAUCUAAAGCUAAAUAUUGGCGAGAGACCGAUAGCGAACAAGUACCGUGAGGGAAAGAUGAAAAGAACUUUGAAAAGAGAGUUAAACAGUACGUGAAAUUGUCAAAAGGGAAGUGUUUGACACCAGUGUUGUUUUUCUGAAAAUCAAUUAAAGAACUGUUUAUGCUAAGCUGUUUAGACUUUAUCAGCUAUCUGUUUAGUUUUGAGCUUUUCUUUAAUGCACUUUUCAGUUAACAAGUCAACAUCAAUUUCUUUUGCUGUAAAAAAGCUUGAGGAAGGUGGCUUGAGAUUCGUCUUAAGUGUUUAUAGCCUCUUGCCUAUGCAGUCGGAGAGAUUGAGGUCUGCAGCGUAGAUCCUUCGGGGCUAAAUGCAUUUGUGCUAAGUUAUAGCAUUUUAUAGACAACUUGUUGACUAUGAUUUGUCUUGUAGCUUACUCGCUUAUGUUAUUUUACCUACGCUUAGGAUGUUGAAGACUCUACAGAGAUA
This 775-nucleotide ribosomal RNA is filed under the name uncultured Neocallimastigales. RNAcentral's name for it is "partial large subunit ribosomal RNA". It matches the Rfam family "Eukaryotic large subunit ribosomal RNA", at positions 24 to 633 of the family's 3401-position model. The record is from RNAcentral. Lineage: Eukaryota; Fungi; Neocallimastigomycota; Neocallimastigomycetes; Neocallimastigales.